Molecule: ribosomal RNA, 253 nt
Filed under: uncultured bacterium
Lineage: Bacteria
Description: partial 16S ribosomal RNA
Rfam family: Bacterial small subunit ribosomal RNA
Source: RNAcentral
UACGUAGGAUGCAAGCGUUGUCCGGAAUUAUUGGGCGUAAAGAGAACGUAGGUGGUUUUCUAAGUUUGGUCUUAAAGACCGGGGCUUAACUCCGGGAAUGGAUCGAAAACUGGGAGACUAGAGGAUGUCAGAGGAAAGUGGAAUUCCGAGUGUAGCGGUGAAAUGCGUAGAUAUUCGGAGGAACACCAGUGGCGAAGGCGGCUCACUGGUCCGGUACUGACGCUGAGGUGCGAAAGCGUGGGGAGCAAACAGG